AGUCGAGCGGUACAGGAGGAGCUUGCUUUCUUUGCUGACGAGCGGCGGACGGGUGAGUAAUGCCUGGGGAAUUGCCCUGAUGUGGGGGAUAACCAUUGGAAACGAUGGCUAAUACCGCAUGAUAGCUUCGGCUCAAAGAGGGGGACCUUCGGGCCUCUCGCGUCAGGAUAUGCCCAGGUGGGAUUAGCUAGUUGGUGAGGUAAUGGCUCACCAAGGCGACGAUCCCUAGCUGGUCUGAGAGGAUGAUCAGCCACACUGGAACUGAGACACGGUCCAGACUCCUACGGGAGGCAGCAGUGGGGAAUAUUGCACAAUGGGCGCAAGCCUGAUGCAGCCAUGCCGCGUGUAUGAAGAAGGCCUUCGGGUUGUAAAGUACUUUCAGUCGUGAGGAAGGGGGUAUCGUUAAUAGCGGUAUUCUUUGACGUUAGCGACAGAAGAAGCACCGGCUAACUCCGUGCCAGCAGCCGCGGUAAUACGGAGGGUGCGAGCGUUAAUCGGAAUUACUGGGCGUAAAGCGCAUGCAGGUGGUUUGUUAGGUCAGAUGUGAAAGCCCGGGGCUCAACCUCGGAGUUGCAUUUGAAACUGGCAGGCUAGAGUACUGUAGAGGGGGGUAGAAUUUCAGUGUAGCGGUGAAAUGCGUAGAGAUCUGAAGGAAUACCGGUGGCGAAGGCGGCCCCCUGGACAGAUACUGACACUCAGAUGCGAAAGCGUGGGGAGCAAACAGGAUUA
This 729-nucleotide ribosomal RNA is filed under the name uncultured bacterium. RNAcentral describes it as "bacterial SSU rRNA". It matches the Rfam family "Bacterial small subunit ribosomal RNA", at positions 60 to 780 of the family's 1533-position model. The record is from RNAcentral.